GCAGAGUGUUGGGGUGUACCCUUGUAAUCCCAGAAACUUGGGAGGCUGAGGUAGGAGGAUUACAGGUUCAAGGCCAACCUCAGAAACUUGGUGAGACCCUGUCUCAA
RNAcentral lists this small RNA (107 nucleotides) under Marmota monax (woodchuck). Lineage: Eukaryota; Metazoa; Chordata; Mammalia; Rodentia; Sciuridae. The record is from RNAcentral.